CCAACCAUGUGACAUACCAAACUGUUGCCUCGGCGGGGUCACGCCCCGGGUGCGUCGCAGCCCCGGAACCAGGCGCCCGCCGGAGGGACCAACCAAACUCUUUUCUGUAGUCCCCUCGCGGACGUUAUUUCUUACAGCUCUGAGCAAAAAUUCAAAAUGAAUCAAAACUUUCAACAMCGGAUCUCUUGGUUCUGGCNUCGAUGAAGAACGCAGCGAAAUGCGAUAAGUAAUGUGAAUUGCANAAUUCAGUGAAUCAUCGAAUCUUUGAACGCACAUUGCGCCCGCCAGUAUUCUGGCGGGCAUGCCUGUCCRAGCGUCAUUUCAACCCUCGAACCCCUCCGGGGGGUCGGCGUUGGGGAUCGGGAACCCCUAAGACGGGAUCCCGGCCCCGAAAUACAGUGGCGGUCUCGCCGCANCCUCUCCUGCGCAGUAGUUUGCACAACUCGCACCGGGAGCGCGGCGCGUCCACGUCCGUAAAACACCCAACUUCUGAAAUGUUGACCUCGGAUCAGGUAGGAAUACCCGCUGAACUUAAGCAUAUCAAUAGGC
This 549-nucleotide ribosomal RNA is filed under the name Trichoderma sp. AH-Group-10. RNAcentral's name for it is "eukaryotic LSU rRNA". The stretch from base 166 to 319 matches the Rfam family "5.8S ribosomal RNA". Lineage: Eukaryota; Fungi; Ascomycota; Sordariomycetes; Hypocreales; Hypocreaceae. The record is from RNAcentral.